AGAGAAUUGUGCAACCAAUUAUACGAAUAACUAUGCGAAUAACCAUCCAAGUAACUAUCCAAAUAAUUAUCCAAAUAAUUAUCCAAAUAACUACCCAAAUAACUAUCCGAAUAACUAUCCGAAUAACUGUACAAAAAAUUACGAAAACGAUAACUGUAGUAAUAGCAGUGCUAAUAGUAACAAUUUUUUUAAUCAAAAUAAAAGAAAAAAAAAACAAACGAUGGAAGGAAGUGUCAUAUCAACACCUAUGCCUACGAUUACUAUUGUAACUUUACCUACAGUUAACGAAAAUGAUAAAAAUAAUUUAACGGCUUUAAAAAAAAACGAGUACUAUAGUAAUGAUAAUACAUCAUUAUAUAAACAAGAAACACAUGUAAAUGAUUAUGCAAAUGUUUUUACAACUGCACAACCAAAUAAGAAAGCAACUAAACACGUUUGUGCAAUACGAAAUAACUUAUUAGACGAUAUAUAUUAUGAACAUAAUGUCAACAAUUUCAACAAUAGUCAUGAUAAAAAUAGUGGAAAUGACAAAAACAACAUUAUUGAUAACAAAAUUUAUAGAAGUGACUUUACGACUGAUACAACAAACCCACACGUGGAUAGUGAAUUUAUGAAUGACCAAAUAAGUAAUAUAUGUUAUGAAUAUUUAUUUAAUUAUAAUGAAAAGGAAUAUGAACAUGAAUGUGAGUGUGAGUAUGAACAUAAAUACCAAGAUGAGGACAAAUACAAAGAUGAGGACAAAUACAAAGAUGAGGACAAAUACAAAGAUGAAGACAAAUGCGAAGAUGAACAUACAUAUAAAGACGAACAUAAAUACGAAGACGAAGACGAAGACAAAGACAAAGACAAAGACAAAGACAAAGACAAAAACAAAGACAAAGACAAAGACAAAGACAAAGAAAAAAACGAAGAUAAAAACGAAGGUAAAGAUAAAGAGAAACACAAAUGUGAAAACACGCUUAAAUGUAAUAGCGAUAUUCCAUGUAAACAGACAGAAAAUAAAAAAGCAUGUUGCUUACAAAAACCUUGUUGUAGUUACGUUUUCAGUUCAUGUCGAGUAUUAACAGAUAAUUCAUUUGAAAAUGAACAAAAACAAAACAAAAAUUUUAUAAAAAAAAACAGCUUAUCAUUAUUACAAAAAAUAUGUUCUAUCAAAUAUAAAAAUAAUGAAAAUAACAAAAGUAUUAAUAACUGUUUAAAAUUUAUUAAUACUAAUAAGAAAAAGCUAAAUGACAACAAUAGUAAUAGUAAUAGUUUGAUCGUGUUAAAAGAAGGAAGUAAGUUUGCAGUUGAUGGUACAUAUGCAGGUCAAACUCAACCUGGUGCUACACAAGCAACUGCAACUACAACUGCAACUACAACUGCAACUACAACUGCAACUGCAACUGCAACUACAACUCUUAAAUCGAAAGAUGUUUCCAUUUUUCCAAAAAGUCAAAUAAGUAAAAGUCCUACUUAUAUAAAUAAAAACAGUACCAACAACAAUAGCAAUAAUAGCAACGCGAAAAAAAAAAAGAAAAAUGAACACCAAAAUAGUAGUCCACUAAAUAGCAGUAGUAGUGGUAGUAAUAGUAGUAAAAGCAGUAUGAAUCUGUUAAAAUAUGUUCGAAUGAAUGUUGAUAAAAGUAGGUGUUACGCUGGUAAGGCAAAAGGAGUGAUGGUAGGGCCAGAUGUGUCUGAUUUUACAUCGAAAAUUGCAAAGUCUGAUUUUAGAAAUACCACCUU
Molecule: long non-coding RNA, 1725 nt
Organism: Piliocolobus tephrosceles (Ugandan red Colobus)
Lineage: Eukaryota; Metazoa; Chordata; Mammalia; Primates; Cercopithecidae
Source: Ensembl